GCCUGGGUGGCUCAGUCGGUUAAGCGUCUGACUUUGGCUCAGGUCUUGACGUCCCAGUUCGUGGGUUCGAGCCCAACGUCAGGCU
Molecule: transfer RNA, 85 nt
Filed under: Felis catus (domestic cat)
Lineage: Eukaryota; Metazoa; Chordata; Mammalia; Carnivora; Felidae
Rfam family: tRNA
About the family: Transfer RNA (tRNA) molecules are approximately 80 nucleotides in length. Their secondary structure includes four short double-helical elements and three loops (D, anti-codon, and T loops). Further hydrogen bonds mediate the characteristic L-shaped molecular structure. tRNAs have two regions of fundamental functional importance: the anti-codon, which is responsible for specific mRNA codon recognition, and the 3' end, to which the tRNAs corresponding amino acid is attached (by aminoacyl-tRNA synthetases). tRNAs cope with the degeneracy of the genetic code in two manners: having more than one tRNA (with a specific anti-codon) for a particular amino acid; and 'wobble' base-pairing, i.e. permitting non-standard base-pairing at the 3rd anti-codon position.
Source: Rfam by way of RNAcentral